UCCCGCCUUUCUAAUCACGAUCACUGAUUACCAAUAAUGCAAGGGUAACUACCACAUUGAUUUAUAAAAUGUUAAUGUGCACCAACGGCAUAACGUAGAUGGUAUUGACUGACGUACUUGUGACAGGAACCAUGCACAUGUGGCUGCGCUUGGUCACGAGUAAACUUGGGAGUUCGACGACUAUUACCUGGUGUGUACUUUGCGGGAGAAAUAAGGGUGUGUUGCCGGAACCCACGUUUGAAGUAAGAUUAGUCGAGUGGGGGCGCUAUCCCCUGGUUUUGGACCUGGAUAACUGAUAUUCCUCUCAGAGAUUGCGCAUUGUGGGAGGGAAAUACACUAUUUCUGUCCUCACCUACAAGCUACGAUCGAGAAAGCGCCCUCUGUCGAUCUGUUCCCUCAUUUGAGGCGGUUUUUAUUUUCAGGUAAAAGUUGUCUCAUUUAAAGGAGCGCCCUCUCUCGUUAUGUUUUCCCAUGGUUUUCCAAAUAAGCCAGGCGAGUAGGUUUUCCCAUGGUCAUGAUGAUCAGAUGUUUGUUGGAAUAAACGAAUCCCUGAUGUUCUAGUGUACAGUGAAUGAGUGUCCAAGCCAGUUUAUUUUUGUCACUUAGGGUUCCGCCUGAACCACUAAGCCAAUCUGAUACCAGUAAGCCAUCCAGCCCAAUCAGCCCUUCAACACUCAACGGACCGGACUCGUCGUCCACUGAUGGUCUUUCCGGAAUGUGCCGCCCGCGCCGCGCUCAGCGGAGAGGGCGCACUCGCCUGACAUGCCUGAAUCUCACUCCACAGUACGCAGUCCACCUCAUGGCCUCACAAGCCUUCCAACUAUCUGGUGAUUCUUACAUGCAAUGGCUGCUCCUUCAGUUGGAAUGUCAAUCAAGAAAAAAUGAUCUCCACCACAUCUUGGGCCAGAAUUCUUGAGCCUUUUUCUUCUUGUUCUGAUGGUUUAUUUGAGGAAGGAAAAUCUACAGAGAGCCACCAUUCCUAAAGCCAACUACACGAUGUAUGCCAUCACCAUCCUGUGAUUGAGACCGUAGCUGCAGAUUCCUCCUUGAUGUGCCAUGGUACCGGCUGUCCUCGUCGGAUCCUGUUCCACUACUCGUUGAGUUUGCUCGAUACUUUUUCAGAGUGCAUAGCUCUUGGCCAACCAGCAUUGAAUGAGUUCACUGUUUGUCCUCUUCCUUUCACCGAGGAACCGUCUCAAGAAUGACCCUCCAUGUGCUCUGACCUGAAUGUUGAUUGCUGUGUUUACUGAGGCCUUUUAUGGAGAUGCAAUUACGAAGAAGCAUAGGCAAAAGAACAUCAGUGAACCAAGCUGGGUGAAGUGGUUGGUUCCUGUCUACCGUGGUCCUUGGAGGGGUUCACCUCACAGACUUGGCCAGUACAAAUAGGGUGCUCCUAAUUUCAAUUAUUACAUUUGCCAAAAAAGUGUCCAUCAUUGUCUUGACACAGUAAACAGAGUUUCCGGCUUGCAAAUAAUCACAUUUUAAAGCUUAGCUGCAAUUUCAUUUUUUAAGAAUUUUUCUGGAAUUUUGUACGCUUGUUCUUUGUGUAAAAACUCUUUUACAUUUCUUUUUGGUUACAUUGAAAAUUGCACUUUUUAGCAUUUAAAACUAUCCAAGCUUUCCUGGACAACUGAGGGCGCUAUUGUUGUGAAGUCCUGGGAAGGCAUAUUUCAGCGCAUGGGUUUUUAAUAUUUCUGAUAAAGGGAUUAAUGCUUGCUUAUUGCUAUGAACAAAAAACAACAAUGAAUCAAUAAAGAGGAGAAAUUUAAAGUCCAGCAAAAUCUACAAAAUGAAAGA
Long non-coding RNA from Acanthaster planci (crown-of-thorns starfish), 1797 nucleotides. The record is from RefSeq and is a predicted model, not a curated record. Lineage: Eukaryota; Metazoa; Echinodermata; Asteroidea; Valvatida; Acanthasteridae.